UACGUAGGGUGCGAGCGUUAUCCGGAAUCAUUGGGCGUAAAGAGCUCGUAGGCGGUUCAACAAGUCGGCUGUGAAAGUCCGGGGCUCAACCCCGGAAUUGCAGUCGAUACUGUUGUGACUUGAGUCCGGUAGAGGAGAAUGGAAUUCCCGGUGUAGCGGUGGAAUGCGCAGAUAUCGGGAGGAACACCAGUAGCGAAGGCGGUUCUCUGGGCCGGCACUGACGCUGAGGAGCGAAAGCGUGGGGAGCAAACAGG
RNAcentral lists this ribosomal RNA (254 nucleotides) under uncultured bacterium. Its description in RNAcentral is "partial 16S ribosomal RNA". It matches the Rfam family "Bacterial small subunit ribosomal RNA", at positions 524 to 776 of the family's 1533-position model. The record is from RNAcentral.